GCCAAAACGGAAAAUUUACUACCGACGUAUAAACAUUACAUGUCUCCUCGUCUUCCACAGCGGCGCCACGGUGGUCUCAGGCAGUCUCCUGAGCAGUGGUUUCAGCCUGUAGACCACAGUGGCGACUGCAUGGGGGCUACAGUCGCUUUGAACCGCUGCUUACUCACUUAUUUAGAUAUAUGUAGAAAUAACGAAAUGUUGUUAUAAAUACGACGAAUUAUGUGCAAAAGCAGGACAACGUGCCGUGGCACGGGCAGCCGAGGGAGGCUGGCGGGGGGUUAAUGUUGGUGCGCUGCUGCCGGAGGAGCUGGCGGCUCUCUGCACUGCCGUCUCAGCGGAGGCAGCCGGGGAGGAGGACGCAGGGCUCGGUCUCUCCACGCGCGCUCGUUGGGAUGUGGGCUGGCAGUAUCAGGGUUAGUGCUUACCAAGGUGUGAAGACGUGUGGUUAGAGGUGACCUGCCUGCUUCCCAGCAAAGUCUGGGCAGCAAAAUAAGCGCAGUUAAAAAGAAAAAAACUAUCCUGCGGCUGGACCACCUACAAGUGAAAAACCACUGUAUCUCUGACGGAGAAGAGCAAGAAAACCCAGUACAACCCGAAAUGAAGGGAACUGCAGCGGUGAAAGCCAAGCCUUAACGCGCCACAACAAAAACAGACACGGCGGACUGUUUUCAGACGACGCUGAUCUCCUUUAAUCCUCACAAAACAGGCAAACUGACAUUGAGUGAGCCGCUUUCCCUUCCGGAAAGGAAAAGGAGAGUUUAUCACCCUCGUUCAGCAGCUGGCGCUUUUUGAGAGUUUUGGAUGUUUGGAGCUCAGUUUGAGACGUGAAUCCUGCAAGACCUGUGAAACGAGUGACCCCGAUCAUUUACCGCCGCCUGACACUCAUGCAUGAAUAAUGCAUGCAUGCAUAAACCGUGUUGGGCGUGUAAAGGAUUUAAAAUGCCCGACAACAGAAGAUGGGCACCUACCUGCGCGCUGUGCUGUAAGCCAGAGGUCUUUUUUUUUUUAAAAGAAAUUUCAGGCCAAAAAAUUAAGCCGACAACUGGACACUAAAUAAAUCUGCACCUAAUCUUAUCGAGUCUUUCUGCUUUCACGGCUUUGAUUCCUUCAGCAUGUCAUGGUCGCUGCCAAACAGCAGCAGCUUACUGGGCCAGGCAGCCCCAUCGCCCAGCGCACAGAUGGUGUGACCCUCUAUCUGCUUGCUAAGCUCCCAGAUCAUAUCAAUCUCAGAGGAGCGAGCAUCUCCUUUCACAAAGCGCCACAUUAUGGAGUUCAUCCAGUCCACCCCUACAAGGCAGAAAACCAGGCUUGGUGAUACCAGAACAGCAAGGCUGAGCAAAAAGUCAAAGACCAGAAAAGACAAGAACAGAAAUCAUGCUGCAAAUUUCAAACCACAUGUUGCACUUCCUCACCCUCUCUGCAGGGGGUACACUGGCCACAGCUCUCAUGUUUGUAAAACUCCACCAGUCGAGCAAUAGCUCUGAUCACAUCAGUCUGAAGCAGAGACAGAAUUGACUGAGAAUGCAUACAGAGUUCCUGAAAACAAAUGAAAUAAAAUUUGAAAACAAUGCAAACCAAUAAACUCACUGAUUUGUCCAUGACUAUGACUGCAGCAGUACCCAGAGCGGUCUCAGCCCUGACAAGGUCAUCAAAGUCCAUCAUCACAUCAUCACAGACAGAGCGAGGGAUGAUGGGAGUGGACGAGCCACCAGGAAUCACACCCAGCAGGUUAUCCCAGCCACCCCUCACACCACCUGAACCAUGCACAGGCAAGAAACCGCAAGGAAUCAAUGUCCGAUACAUUAUUCAUAGACAAAUUGGAAAAUGUAUUUUCUUUUGUCCAAUAUAUUAUAAACAGUAAUUACAAAGGCUAACACAGUGCCCUGUUUUUGCCCACACACCAUCUAUGUAUAGCCAGUAGUGGUGGAUAUUUCCUUUUUUUUUUUUUUUCAAAAAUUGUUACAUAAAUUUUGCCUACUUGCCGAAAAUGAAUAGCAUAGUGGAUAACACCACCUCCUCAUGUACGGAAUAACUAAUGUUUAACUCUCCAUCAAGACAGGCUUGCACUGCUAUAUCAAACCAUAUGUUGUGCCCAGAGGUUGCACUACUAUAUAAGUAAGUCCAUGGGCAAAACUCCUAAAACAUUGGUUUCUAUGGAAAUGGUCAUCUGCUAAAUAAAAAGAUAUUCACAACA
Pygocentrus nattereri (red-bellied piranha) is the source of this 2194-nucleotide long non-coding RNA. RefSeq lists it as uncharacterized. The transcript has 3 exons. Lineage: Eukaryota; Metazoa; Chordata; Actinopteri; Characiformes; Serrasalmidae. The record is from RefSeq and is a predicted model, not a curated record.